GUUCAUUUGUACACUUCUUCUAACCAUUGGAUUCUGCUCAUUUAUAACCGAUUUCAUUUCGGACAUUGAUGAAAAUCUGCAUCAGUUCAAUGAUCAUUUUCUCAGGGCUGAUAAUCCGAGGCGGAUCGAUAUGAAAUCAAAACUAUUGGCCAUAAUAAGAUUUCAUUCGGAGGCAAAAGAGUUUGCAAAUCGAUUUUCGAAUACCAACAGCGGCAUUAUUUUCGUGUAUCUUCUUUUUGCAAUUGUGGCAUUUAGCAACGCAAUCCUGCAGAUCAGCAUAUUACCGGAAAUAAAAUCGUUUUCAGACCAUUACACCGAAGCUGAAAGUAUUGUGACAAUAUUGCAAAUUGGCGCUCCAGCACCAGUCAAUGUGUUUUGGUUGUAUUUAAUUUGCAACUAUGGACAUCAAGUCAAUGCACGCUUCAGUAACAUUGCAAACGAAUUAUAUCAGCUGGACUGGUGUAUGCUGCCAUCGGACAUGCAAAAGAUGUGGCCAAUGAUGAUUAUUCUUGCUCAAAACAAUUUUUAUCUUCGUGGACUUGGACGUACAUACUGCACACGAACGCUUUUUAAAAAGAUUAUCAAAACUACUUUCUCUUAUUUCACGAUGUUGCGCAAAUUUGACCUUUAACUUUGCGUUUUUAAUAUGAAAUAUUGAAUAGGGAUCAAAACCCAUUCAUUUAUUCGAAUAAUAUAUGCGAGG
Sitodiplosis mosellana (orange wheat blossom midge) is the source of this 703-nucleotide long non-coding RNA. RefSeq lists it as uncharacterized. The record is from RefSeq and is a predicted model, not a curated record. NCBI's taxonomy places the organism in Eukaryota, Metazoa, Arthropoda, Insecta, Diptera, Cecidomyiidae. The transcript is spliced from 3 exons.